GACGAACGCUGGCGGCGUGCUUAUCACAUGCAAGUCGAACGGAAAGGCCUUUUCGGCGGUACUCGAGUGGCGAACGGGUGAGUAACACGUGGGUGAUCUGCCCUGCACUCUGGGAUAAGCCUGGGAAACUGGGUCUAAUACCGGAUAGGACCGCACUUUAGUGUGUGUGGUGGAAAGUUUUUUCGGUGUAGGAUGAGCCCGCGGCCUAUCAGCUUGUUGGUGGGGUAAUGGCCUACCAAGGCGGCGGCGGGUAGCCGGACUGAGAGGUUGGUCGGCCACAUUGGGACUGAGAGACGGCCCAGACUCCUACGGGAGGCAGCAGUGGGGAAGAUUGCACAAUGGGCGCAAGCCUGAUGCAGCGACGCCGCGGGGUGGAUGACGGCCUUCGGGGUGUAAACUCCUUUCGCCAGGGACGAAGCGUUUUGUGACGGUACCUGGAGAAGAAGCACCGGCUAACUACGUG
This 463-nucleotide ribosomal RNA is filed under the name uncultured bacterium. Its description in RNAcentral is "partial 16S ribosomal RNA". It matches the Rfam family "Bacterial small subunit ribosomal RNA", at positions 28 to 507 of the family's 1533-position model. The record is from RNAcentral.